GAUGAACGCUGGCGGCGUGCUUAAUACAUGCAAGUCGAGCGAACAGACGAGGAGCUUGUUGCUCUGACGUUAGCGGCGGACGGGUGAGUAACACGUGUAUAACCUACCUAUCAGUCUGGGAUCAUCUGGAGAAACCGGAGCUAAUACCGGAGAAUAUAUUGCACCGUAUGGUUCAUUAGAGAGAGACGGUUUUGCUGUAUGUUAUAGAUGGUUACGCGCGGGAUUAGCUAGUUGGUAGGGUACCGGCUUACCAAGGCGACGAUGCGUAGACGACCUGAGAGGGGGAUCGGCGACCCGGGAACGGGGACAGCGACCAGACUCCUACGGGAGGGAGCAGUAGGGAAUCUUCCGCAAUGGGCGAAAGCCUGACGGAGCAAGGGCGCGUGUGUGAUGAAGGCCUUCGGAUCGUAAAGCUCUGUUAUGAGGGAAGAACAAAUGUGGAAGUAACUGUAGCCGUAGUGACGGUAACUAAUAAGAAAGCCCCGGCUAACUACGUG
RNAcentral lists this ribosomal RNA (497 nucleotides) under uncultured bacterium. RNAcentral's name for it is "partial 16S ribosomal RNA". It matches the Rfam family "Bacterial small subunit ribosomal RNA", at positions 28 to 507 of the family's 1533-position model. The record is from RNAcentral.